UGGGGAAUAUUGGACAAUGGGCGAAAGCCUGAUCCAGCCAUGCCGCGUGAGUGACGAAGGCCUUAGGGUUGUAAAGCUCUUUUGGCGGGGAAGAUAAUGACGGUACCCGCAGAAUAAGCUCCGGCUAACUUCGUGCCAGCAGCCGCGGUAAUACGAAGGGAGCUAGCGUUGUUCGGAAUCACUGGGCGUAAAGCGCACGUAGGCGGAUUGUUUAGUCAGGGGUGAAAUCCCGGGGCUCAACCUCGGAACUGCCUUUGAUACUGGCAAUCUCGAGUCCGAUAGAGGUGGGUGGAAUUCCUAGUGUAGAGGUGAAAUUCGUAGAUAUUAGGAAGAACACCGGUGGCGAAGGCGGCCCACUGGAUUGGUACUGACGCUGAGGUGCGAAAGCGUGGGGAGCAAACAGGAUUAGAUACCCAAGUAGUCCCUGAGCGGGCUGGCAAGGCGCAU
This 447-nucleotide ribosomal RNA is filed under the name uncultured bacterium. RNAcentral describes it as "bacterial SSU rRNA". It matches the Rfam family "Bacterial small subunit ribosomal RNA", at positions 355 to 825 of the family's 1533-position model. The record is from RNAcentral.